Molecule: unclassified non-coding RNA, 269 nt
Filed under: plant metagenome
Description: partial contains small subunit ribosomal RNA, internal transcribed spacer 1, and 5.8S ribosomal RNA
Source: RNAcentral
UUUCCGUAGGUGAACCUGCGGAAGGAUCAUUAAUGAGUUGUCAUGGGGUUCGAUGCUGGCAGCCAAUUUUUGGAUGCAUGUGCUUGCCCUAACAAUCAUCUUCCAAACACCUGUGCACAUUUUUGAGGGAGUCUUGAGUCGGUUGCCGCUCUUGGGUGAUUUUCUCACAUUCCCUUAAAUCAUUAUACGCUAUUAACAAUGUUGAACGUGCUCUGUGCCGCAAGGCUAUUAAUAUAAUACAACUUUUAACAACGGAUCUCUUGGCUCUC